CCUACGGGAGGCAGCAGUGGGGAAUAUUGGACAAUGGGCGCAAGCCUGAUCCAGCAAUGCCGCGUGUGUGAAGAAGGCCUGCGGGUUGUAAAGCACUUUAAGCAGGGAGGAGGGGUACUGGCGUGAAUAGCGUUGGUAUCUGACGUUACCUGCAGAAUAAGCACCGGCUAACUUCGUGCCAGCAGCCGCGGUAAUACGAAGGGUGCAAGCGUUAAUCGGAAUUACUGGGCGUAAAGCGCGUGUAGGCGGUUAUUUAAGUCAGAUGUGAAAGCCCCGGGCUCAACCUGGGAAUGGCAUUUGAUACUGGGUAACUGGAAUGUGGUAGAGGGAGGCGGAAUUUCCGGUGUAGCGGUGAAAUGCGUAGAUAUCGGAAAGAACACCAAUGGCGAAGGCAGCCUCCUGGGCCAACAUUGACGCUGAUGGACGAAAGCGUGGGGAGCGAACAGGAUUAGAUACCCUGGUAGUCCACGCCGUAAACGAUGAGAACUAGACGGUGGGGAGGUCACUCUUCGCUGUUGAAGCUAACGCGUUAAGUUCUCCGCCUGGGGAGUACGGCCGCAAGGUGAAACUCAAAGGAAUUGACG
This 584-nucleotide ribosomal RNA is filed under the name uncultured bacterium. Its description in RNAcentral is "bacterial SSU rRNA". It matches the Rfam family "Bacterial small subunit ribosomal RNA", at positions 338 to 915 of the family's 1533-position model. The record is from RNAcentral.